AUAUUACAGUUAAUGAAGCCUAAGCCUAUAUUCUAUUUCUAUAACUAUUCUAUAUCUAGUGCUAAUUCAUUUGACUAAUCUGUCUAAUGAACUAGUAACCUAGUUUUAAAACAUUUAUUUGUAGUUAAAUUAGAAUCUAGCUAGAUAUUAUUUGUAUCAUUGUAAGAUAAAACGAAUAUAGAUCGAUAAUUUUUAUGACUCUAUAUAUAAUCAUAACAUAUAAUACAGUUAAUGGAGCCUAAUUUUAAGCCUAUACCUAUAAGUAUACCUAGAAUUAGAAUCUAGGUAUAUAAAAAUUAUUAUAGAUGUAUUGUAUACAUUGAUUGACUCAAGUCUUUUAUCAAUCUCAUUAUAAAUAUAAUUAUUUAUUAGAUCUAGACUAGUCACUAGGUCUAUAUUACAUUGUUUUAUUUAUAUUAAUUAUAUUCUUAUUUAAACUUAUGACAUAAACU
Biomphalaria pfeifferi is the source of this 452-nucleotide non-coding RNA. NCBI's taxonomy places the organism in Eukaryota, Metazoa, Mollusca, Gastropoda, Planorbidae. The record is from the annotation of a GenBank genome assembly.